Molecule: long non-coding RNA, 425 nt
Organism: Macaca mulatta (Rhesus monkey)
Lineage: Eukaryota; Metazoa; Chordata; Mammalia; Primates; Cercopithecidae
Source: RefSeq, a predicted model, not a curated record
UCGGCCUCCCAAAGUGCUGGGAUUACAGGCUUGAGCCACCGCGCCUGGCCCAGGCUGAAUUAUUUCUAUCUUCUCUUCCAGGACACGCAGAGAUAUCCAGCCCGGGGUGUGGGGUAUUAAGGAAUGAAUCUACAACGAAUUGCCAACUGACUGACCAAGUCCAUUAUGGUGACAGCAUUCACUCGGGUCUAACUUCCUGACUGCCGCCAUGUGUCCGCUGCCCUCUCUGUGAGCGCCUCCUUCAUGGAAAGGCUUUCAGAUCGUCGCACGGACAAACUCAAGAUGCUGAAUCCGGGUUGUUUACAAAACUGAGUACAAGUUACAUCCUCAGGCUCAUUUCUCAACUUCCCUCCCUCAGGAGCAGCCACACCGCAAGACAUUGUGUAGCUUACAGACCAUUUUCAAUAAAUCCUCCUUACGAAUCA